Molecule: long non-coding RNA, 1565 nt
Organism: Gasterosteus aculeatus aculeatus (three-spined stickleback)
Lineage: Eukaryota; Metazoa; Chordata; Actinopteri; Perciformes; Gasterosteidae
Source: Ensembl
CAGUAGAAGAGGCUGUUAGCAAGAAAUCGUUGAGCUGAACUUGAGGAAACACUUUUUGUGACUGCUUGAGUGGUUGUUUAUGUGCAAAUGAGGAUUCCAUAGAAUCAUCGGAAGGACCAUAGCAACCAUGGAAUCCUGCACGUCCAUUUUGUGUCUGUGUGUUCUAAUGUUUUAUCCAACCAUUUCUGAACAUAGGAAUGCAUCCUCAGUCACAAUGUCUGAACAUGUUCUUUAUAUCAUUAUAUAUGGAUAUAUUAAUUGAGCUCUGCUGCAGGGGGUCAGUGAAGGUCUCAUGACAUGUGAAGCUGUGGAACCUGUCAAUCAUCCUAGCUACCCAUGGGGGCGGGUACAAGUGAGGGUAUGUGGGGUUUGCAGAGACAGUGAGGAGGGAUGUUUGUCAAUGAUCUGCUCGUAGUCGAAGUCAGUCUAUGAUAAUAUAUGAUUAAUUAUAACUAUAAUAAUCUAGAUUGCUUAUCUAUUGCUUAUCAAAUCAGCCCAAACGUUUCUUCAAAUGAAUUAUAUGUGAUGUGCAAGCUGUUGGUUUGGACUGCUGACAUUUUUUGUAUGAGCUCUUCCAUAAGAUGAUAUAGUUUGUUAAAUGUCAUUGUAACAAAGGGAAUCGUUUUGGUCUGUGGCUGCUAUCAGUCCAAUGACGCGCUAUGAGCUCAUGUACGAGCGAGAUCUUCAUCUUUAUUCCUAUUUCAUUAGAAUCACAAAUAACGUUUUAAAUCAGCUAUGCAUAAUAGUGUUUUUUUUUAUGGGAACGUGGAGGUAGCAGAUACAUAAACAUGCACUGAGGGGAAGACCGGGGGGCAAACUCUCUCUCUGGUUCCCUCAACAGGUUGAUGUGACCAUGACUGCAUGUGCUUCAUACAGAUCAUCUUUAGUCCAACGACUUUUUAUUAAACAAACAAUUAGACAAUUAUGUUUGUCUUACGUCCCUUCAAUUGGUUCUCAGAAAUAUCUAUUGACAUCAUAGUGUUUGUAUGUGGGUCAUUUGAACACUUUAUUUUUGGAGAAUUAACUAUAUUAUUUUGAAUGGCACGUUUAAUUUUGCAUGUGAUUUGUGGGAUGUUAAAUUGUUUUUGUGAGUUUUGAGAUUUAACUGAAGUGAUUUACACUAGUAAAGGUUACUGGACUGAUGUACACGGCUAACAACCUGCUGUGGCCACCAUGCAAGUGUAUGAAAAAGAGCAAAUAUUGAAUAAGGUAAUGAAUCAUUUGUACGGUAAUGAAUCAAGCAUUUAUGGAAACUUGUAAUACAAUGUAGUGAUGUAGAUAAAGUGCAACCCCAAAAAUACAACCACCAGUAUAAUUUGAAUAAUGCUAUACAAUAUUAACCACUUUAAAUGACAGAAGCUAUCUUUUCAAUCCAGUUCUAUGUUAGACCUUGUGUUUCUGGAGUUAUCAGAAAACCACUUAAGUGCUCAAGAAAUGGCCACAUGGUGCUGCUAAUACAUCAACUAUUCACAUGUGCCCUCACUGGUGCUGACCUUUCCUCCUCUUAGCUGGAAAAUGAUGUUUACAUAUUUCAUCAAUUCUGCAAGAAUCAAGCUUUGUGUAUG